RNAcentral lists this ribosomal RNA (775 nucleotides) under uncultured Neocallimastigales. RNAcentral describes it as "partial large subunit ribosomal RNA". It matches the Rfam family "Eukaryotic large subunit ribosomal RNA", at positions 24 to 628 of the family's 3401-position model. Lineage: Eukaryota; Fungi; Neocallimastigomycota; Neocallimastigomycetes; Neocallimastigales. The record is from RNAcentral.
UAUGUGAUCGUCUCUCGCAUAUCAAUAAGCGGAGGAAAAGAAACUAACAAGGAUUCCCCUAGUAACGGCGAGUGAAGCGGGAAGAGCUCAAAUUUGAAAUCUUAAAGGGUUUCCCUUUACGAAUUGUAGUUUAAAGAAGUGUUUUCUGUUGAGGUUUUGGUAAAAGUUCUUUGGAAUAGGACAUCAUAGAGGGUGAGAAUCCCGUAUUUGACCUUUACUUUCAACUUUGUGAUACACUUUCAAAGAGUCGGAUUGUUUGGGAAUGCAUGUCCAAAAUGGGUGGUAAAUUUCAUCUAAAGCUAAAUAUUGGCGAGAGACCGAUAGCGAACAAGUACCGUGAGGGAAGAUGAAAAGAACUUUGAAAAGAGAGUUAAACAGUACGUGAAAUUGUCAAAAGGGAAGCGUUUGACACCAGUGUUGUUUUUCUGAAAAUCAAUUAAAGAACUGUUUAUGCUAAGUUGUUUAGACUUUAUCAGCUAUACUGUUUAGUUUUGAGCUUUUCUUUAAUGCACUUUUCAGUUAACAAGUCAACAUCAAUUUCUUUUGCUGUAAAAAAGCUUGAGGAAGGUGGCUUGAGAUUCGUCUUAAGUGUUUAUAGCCUCUUGCCUACGCAGUCGGAGAGAUUGAGGUCUGCAGCGUAGAUCCUUCGGGGCUAAAUGCAUUUGUGCUAAGUUAUAGCAUUUUAUAGACAACUUGUUGACUAUGAUUUGUCUUGUAGCUUACUCGCUUAUGUUAUUUUACCUACGCUUAGGAUGUUGAAGACUCUACAGAGAUA